GCUUGUCUCAAAGAUUAAGCCAUGCAUGUCUAAGUAUAAGCCUUUAUAUGGUGAGACUGCGAAUGGCUCAUUAAAUCAGAAACUGUUUAUUUGAUAGUGCCUACUACAUGGAUACCUGUAGUAAUUCUAGAGCUAAUACAUGCAAAAAAUCCCGACUUUUGAAGGGAUGUAUUUAUUAGAUAAAAAGCCAAUACACCCUCUGGGUGGUUUGUGGUGAUUCAUAAUAACUGAUCGAAUCGCAUGGCCUCGUGCUGGCGAUAGUUCAUUCAAAUUUCUGCCCUAUCAGCUUUCGACGGUAGUGUAGUGGACUACCGUGGCAUUAACGGGUGACGGAGAAUUAGGGUUCGAUUCCGGAGAGGGAGCCUGAGAAAUGGCUACCACAUCCAAGGAAGGCAGCAGG
RNAcentral lists this ribosomal RNA (400 nucleotides) under uncultured Cercomonas. Its description in RNAcentral is "partial small subunit ribosomal RNA". It matches the Rfam family "Eukaryotic small subunit ribosomal RNA", at positions 30 to 432 of the family's 1831-position model. The record is from RNAcentral. Lineage: Eukaryota; Cercozoa; Cercomonadida; Cercomonadidae.